RNAcentral lists this ribosomal RNA (482 nucleotides) under uncultured bacterium. Its description in RNAcentral is "partial 16S ribosomal RNA". It matches the Rfam family "Bacterial small subunit ribosomal RNA", at positions 29 to 506 of the family's 1533-position model. The record is from RNAcentral.
AUUGAACGCUGGCGGAAUGCUUUACACAUGCAAGUCGAGCGGCAGCACGGGGGCAACCCUGGUGGCGAGCGGCGAACGGGUGAGUAAUACAUCGGAACAUGCCCAGUCGUGGGGGAUAACACUUCGAAAGAAGUGCUAAUACCGCAUACGUCCUGAGGGAGAAAGCGGGGGAUCGCAAGACCUCGCGCGAUUGGAGUGGCCGAUGUCAGAUUAGCUAGUUGGUGGGGUAAAGGCCUACCAAGGCAACGAUCUGUAGCUGGUCUGAGAGGAUGAUCAGCCACAAGGGGACGAGGAACAGGCCAAGAACCCUGGGGGAGGCAGCAGGGGGAAAUUUGGAAAAGGGGGGGAACCCGGAACAAGCCAUCCCGGGGGGGGGAAGAGGGCCUUCGGGUUGAAAAGCUCUUUGGGGAGGAAAAAAACGGGGAGCUUAAAAAUAGCUUGAAAAGAAGGGAACCUAAAAAAAAAACACCGCCUAACUCGGG